AAUCAGGCCGUACGCUGUGGUUCGGUGCCCAACCCCGUCAGGACCGGAAGGUAGCAGCGGUAAGUAUCAGGGCCAGGAGAUGUAUGUGAGCUUGAUUGGA
This 100-nucleotide signal recognition particle RNA is filed under the name bacterium. RNAcentral describes it as "signal recognition particle sRNA small type". It matches the Rfam family "Bacterial small signal recognition particle RNA". Rfam says of the family: The signal recognition particle (SRP) is a universally conserved ribonucleoprotein involved in the co-translational targeting of proteins to membranes. Archaeal SRP consists of a 7S RNA and homologues of the eukaryotic SRP19 and SRP54 proteins. In most bacteria, the SRP consists of a 4.5S RNA and the Ffh protein (a homologue of the eukaryotic SRP54 protein). The record is from RNAcentral.